RNAcentral lists this microRNA (23 nucleotides) under Canis lupus familiaris (dog). Lineage: Eukaryota; Metazoa; Chordata; Mammalia; Carnivora; Canidae. The record is from RNAcentral.
AGUGGUUAUCCCUGUCCUGUUCG